GCGUAGGUAGUAUAAUGGUUAUUAUCUCGGUUUCCCAUCACAUGGCCUGGGCCGGGAAUCGAACCCGACCUGCCGUUGACUACCGAGGAACCGGGUUCGAUUCCCGGCCUACGCA
This is a non-coding RNA of Ceratobasidium sp. UAMH 11750, 115 nucleotides long. Lineage: Eukaryota; Fungi; Basidiomycota; Agaricomycetes; Cantharellales; Ceratobasidiaceae. The record is from the annotation of a GenBank genome assembly.